GCUAAAAUGCAAAACACAAGUGCAGCAGGACAGCGAGGAUUCAUGGAAGAAAUUGGUUUUAUAAUGAGGAGAACAAGAAGCUACUCUCUGACAUCAGAGCUUCUGUUCCAGGAAGGAGGAGCAGAACCCCCAUCAAGACGAGCGGCAACAGACUUUUAAGAAGAGAGAGCGGUUACAGUGUCAAAGGGUCUCUCUGGAGAGCGAGAUCUUGCGCUUGCGAGAAGACAACGGGCGCUGGCUGGGGAGCGGGACAAUCUGCAGAACAGAGUUGGGCUUCUGCAGGAAUGGAAGGAGGCGGAAGAGGACUGGGCCAGAGAGGAAGCUUUGAGAGAAAGGCGAAGUAGGCCACGAAAGCUGCUGGCCAGGCCAGACACAAACUGCUCACGCUCCGCCAGGAACUGGGCGUCCUUUGUGCAGAGCGAGAUUUCCAUUUCCACUGAUACGCAAAGCGAAAGCCGGCUCUCGGGCAAACCACAGGAUCAGGUCCGGAGUAGCUUCCAGUGGGAGACGUGUGCGCUUGACGCUCAGUGCCAUGGACAGUCACCAAGGACGACUGGGAGGACAUGAGCGCAGACAGAACGCCGGGAGUGAGAUGAGCAAACACUGGGCUGCUAACAAGAGCCUGAGGGCUCAGUUAGAUGAAAGAGAUCAGACGCUGAAGGAGCUGCACCAGAGGUAAAUGCUCUCUUUCACCCUUCUGCGGUCUUUCUCUUUCCCGUGCUGCGGGUCACGUGGGCAGCGUCUGAUUCCACCGUGCGGCCGACUCCAGCAGCGUCUCUAGAUCUCCAGACCCGUGAAGCUGGCUGUGGAUAGAGACAGUGAGAGGACGUGUCAUUUCCUGCCCGUGUCAUAAGACGUCUGACAGUCACUUGCCUCCUCCCUGUCCUUUUUACUUCCUUCCUUUCUUUCUGUCUG
Long non-coding RNA from Cyprinus carpio (common carp), 915 nucleotides. Lineage: Eukaryota; Metazoa; Chordata; Actinopteri; Cypriniformes; Cyprinidae. The record is from Ensembl.